Papaver somniferum (opium poppy) is the source of this 1108-nucleotide long non-coding RNA. RefSeq lists it as uncharacterized. NCBI's taxonomy places the organism in Eukaryota, Viridiplantae, Streptophyta, Magnoliopsida, Ranunculales, Papaveraceae. The record is from RefSeq and is a predicted model, not a curated record. The transcript has 2 exons.
UUUUUAAUCAAUUGUUCAUAUGUAUUCUUCCGUCCCGACUUUUUUCAACCUUAAAAGUUGCGUAUGAUUGGUGCAUCUGUUUAACAAAACAAAUCGGAGAAUUGUGACAUUCAAACUAUGUCACGAUAAGAAAAUACACGACUUUUAGAAUUGGUAAACAUCAAAGGAUUUGGUAAAGAAUUAGGCCGUAGAAAUUGGUGAUGAAAGAUGGUGCCAUGGUGAUGAUGGGUGUUUGUUAAGGGUUUAAUGUGAAUUUAGAAGCCAGGAAGAAGAGUUUGCUGCAAGUUGUUACCAUCGUCAGUGUUUAUGUUAGAAUGGUGAAGAUUGGUGAAUGGUUAGACAAUACUGGAUUGUGUUGGAUCCGUAUUUCGCAGGGCAGGAGAUAUAUAAUGUCUCAGAUAUCCACAACAACGUGCAGAAUACACGGCAGCUGUUUGACAAAAUUCCUACACCACCUGUUAACCAAGCUUGCUGCCAUAAAAGGACUUUCCUGUUGUCUCUAAAUCAGCAUCUUUACCGUGGUUCAUGUGGGUAAGGCCGUAAGGAUGAUGGGUUAGAAGAUAUUUAGAAAGUAGUAGACGGGAGUUGUUAUAUUGAUUUAAAGGGUAAGAGAGAGAUGGAGAAUGUGAAGAUAUAAACUAUGGUGAAAUUGAGUUCUUCAUGCAUUUAUGUGUUACUCUGUUACAUAAGAAUUGAUCAUAAACGUGUUUGUAUGCAUGUAUAAGGUUAAUUAUGAUUACAAUAACCAAGAACUUCUUGCUGAUCACCUAAGACUAUCGUGUUUGCUCCUUCGAAUCAAGAGUCGUUGUCUGUUCACUUGAAGACGAAUAUAAAUGAUCCUACAUCUUUGAUCAUCCUUUUAUAGCCGCGGGCCAAAGUUUAUGAGUGUUCCAGAACAGCUUCUAGACGGAAUUCGAGAAAAAUCGGCAUAUUUGUUCACCGAAAGAGGUUGGGAUCCAUAGAUUUCUAUCCGUCCAUCCGUUCGUGACAUAUAAUUCUGAGAAAUACUUAUGUUAAUCCGUUCACAAAUUGGUCUCUUUACGAUGAAGGUGCUUUCAUCGAAGUGUAACAGUACCUUCUCUCGACUACUAAUGCAUAAGGUGGAUAA